Molecule: long non-coding RNA, 1132 nt
Filed under: Sorghum bicolor (sorghum)
Lineage: Eukaryota; Viridiplantae; Streptophyta; Magnoliopsida; Poales; Poaceae
Description: long non-coding RNA (SBIC_LNC016373)
Source: RNAcentral
GCACGUUCACUCAUACAUGCUGCUUCUACUCCGGAAGUACGCAUCCACAUAUAUCCAUUCAUUUCCAUCUCCAGAACCACCCAAAAAAUAUUCUACUCCUAAUCCGGGAGAGAAUAGCCAAAAAUAUUUCUGUUUUUCCCUGUGAAAUAAAUGCUCAAGUUAUCUUGUUACUACCACUUGCUAUAUUAUCUCAUGAGAUGAGUGCUCUAAUAAAAAAAGAGAAAGAAUACGAGGAAAUAAAAAGGGGCAAGUGCCCGGAACCUCGAAAGAAAGAAAAAGUGAGACAAGAGGUAAAAAUGGACAAGUGUCCGACAGUAGAAUUAGGGGUACAAGAUACCCACGUGAGAGAAAAAGAAAAUAUAGAGCAUCUCAUUUUCCUCAAAAAGUUUCAAAAGAGCAAGAAAGGUAUGUACCCCCUCAAAAGAGCAAAAGUAGAAUUAGACUUUCACCAUUGUUAUUACCAUCGUCACCAUCAUACACCAUUCAUUCGCCACACAUGCACAUCUUGAUUUGACUUAUUGACUUGUUCUUCUGGAUCCAUGGUUUGACUAUGCAAUAAAUGUCUUGUAAGUAUGAAUUAGCUGUCUCCCACCUAUGAGCUCCAGAUAUCAAAACUUUAUUAGAGUAGGGUGAGAGAGAAGGCAAUGCCACUAUGUGCCAUACCAAAAAUACAACAUACUUUGAGAGAAGGCAUAUACCAUUACUGCCUUGGUAAGGAUCUAGAAAUACCACAAAUGAGAGACUAGAGAGAGUCAUACAAGGAAUCUCUGAGUUUUAUUUGAAAAUCUGCAAAAAACUCCAGAGCUUUAGUUAAUCGAAGAACAAGAGACAUGGUGCUUGAUUAGACCGUUCUAUCUUUUAACUGCUCAAGACACAAGUGACGGUUGCAAGCCCCAUGGUGGAAGGUAAUAUGAGUAAGUUUAAAUCUUAACAGUUUACCCUAACCUAGAGAUGAGAUCUUGUUUGAACGCAUGUGUAUCUUUAAGGCAUGAAACCACUGCAAAAAUUCUUGAGUUCAUCUUUGCUCAGGGACGAGCAAAGGUUAAGCUUGGGGGAGCUUGUUGACAGUCCUUAAUGCUCACAUUUAACCAUCAACUAAUCAUGGAAAAGGAUCCAAAUGCAACCAACACCC